UCCUCGUUUAAGCGAGGCAGUCUGUCCAGAGUGCUCCCAACUCUCGUUGAGGUGGCAACAGGACAUAAGGGUUGCGCUCGUUGCGGGACUUAACCCAACAUCUCACGACACGAGCUGACGACAGCCAUGCAGCACCUGUGCAUGCUCCCCUUGCGGGGUCGUCCCGCUUUCACGGUUCUACCACAUGCAUGUCAAGGCCAGGUAAGGUUCUUCGCGUUGCAUCGAAUUAAGCCACAUACUCCACCGCUUGUGCAGGCCCCCGUCAAUUUCUUUGAGUUUUAACCUUGCGGCCGUACUCCCCAGGCGGAGAACUUAACGCGUUAGCUGCGCCACCCAAGCACCAUGUGCCCGGACAGCUAGUUAUCAUCGUUUACGGCGUGGACUAC
RNAcentral lists this unclassified non-coding RNA (386 nucleotides) under uncultured bacterium. RNAcentral's name for it is "contains 16S-23S intergenic spacer region". The record is from RNAcentral.